RNAcentral lists this ribosomal RNA (378 nucleotides) under uncultured eukaryote. Its description in RNAcentral is "partial 18S ribosomal RNA". It matches the Rfam family "Eukaryotic small subunit ribosomal RNA", at positions 592 to 976 of the family's 1831-position model. The record is from RNAcentral.
CAAUAGCGUAUAUUAAAGUUGUUGCAGUUAAAAAGCUCGUAGUUGGAUUUCGGGUGUGAACGACCGGUCCGUCUUUGAUGUGUACUGGUUGGUUGCGCCUUAUUGUCGAGGACGUGGUUCUAGCUUUCAUUAGCCGGGACACGGAGUCGGCAGCGUUACUUUGAGAAAAUUAGAGUGUUCAAAGCAGGCUAUCGCUCUGAAUACUACAGCAUGGAAUAACACGAUAGGACUCCGAGCCUAUUCUGUUGGUCUUCGGGACCGGAGUAAUGAUUAAGAGGGACAGUUGGGGGCAUUCGUAUUCCGAUGUCAGAGGUGAAAUUCUUGGAUUAUCGGAAGACGAGCAUCUGCGAAAGCAUUUGCCAAGGAUGUUUUCAUUAA